This 800-nucleotide ribosomal RNA is filed under the name Pseudomonas sp. JSM 2215093. RNAcentral's name for it is "bacterial SSU rRNA". It matches the Rfam family "Bacterial small subunit ribosomal RNA", at positions 38 to 831 of the family's 1533-position model. Lineage: Bacteria; Pseudomonadati; Pseudomonadota; Gammaproteobacteria; Pseudomonadales; Pseudomonadaceae. The record is from RNAcentral.
GGCGGCGGUCCGUACUUCUAUGCAGUCGAGCGGAUGACAGGGAGCUUGCUCCUGGAUUCAGCGGCGGACGGGUGAGUAAUGCCUAGGAAUCUGCCUGGUAGUGGGGGACAACGUUUCGAAAGGAACGCUAAUACCGCAUACGUCCUACGGGAGAAAGCAGGGGACCUUCGGGCCUUGCGCUAUCAGAUGAGCCUAGGUCGGAUUAGCUUGUUGGUGAGGUAAUGGCUCACCAAGGCGACGAUCCGUAACUGGUCUGAGAGGAUGAUCAGUCACACUGGAACUGAGACACGGUCCAGACUCCUACGGGAGGCAGCAGUGGGGAAUAUUGGACAAUGGGCGAAAGCCUGAUCCAGCCAUGCCGCGUGUGUGAAGAAGGUCUUCGGAUUGUAAAGCACUUUAAGUUGGGAGGAAGGGUUGUAGAUUAAUACUCUGCAAUUUUGACGUUACCGACAGAAUAAGCACCGGCUAACUCUGUGCCAGCAGCCGCGGUAAUACAGAGGGUGCAAGCGUUAAUCGGAAUUACUGGGCGUAAAGCGCGCGUAGGUGGUUUGUUAAGUUGGAUGUGAAAGCCCCGGGCUCAACCUGGGAACUGCAUCCAAAACUGGCAAGCUAGAGUACGGUAGAGGGUGGUGGAAUUUCCUGUGUAGCGGUGAAAUGCGUAGAUAUAGGAAGGAACACCAGUGGCGAAGGCGACCACCUGGACUGAUACUGACACUGAGGUGCGAAAGCGUGGGGAGCAAACAGGAUUAGAUACCCUGGUAGUCCACGCCGUAAACGAUGUCAACUAGCCGUUGGAAUCC